Physeter macrocephalus (sperm whale) is the source of this 1652-nucleotide long non-coding RNA. RefSeq lists it as uncharacterized. The record is from RefSeq and is a predicted model, not a curated record. The transcript is spliced from 3 exons. Lineage: Eukaryota; Metazoa; Chordata; Mammalia; Artiodactyla; Physeteridae.
GCUACGUUCCCUCCCUGCGCGUGAUUUGAAGGCUCAAACGCCCACGCGUGGGACGGUAACGACCGUGCAAACAGCUGAGGCUUCUUCCCAUGAAGUUCAGAACGUCCCUGGUGUCAGAGAGAAACCCGAGCUGACUGCAGACGUGUGAUUGCGUUCACAUGGAGCGCCUUGCUGUUUUUUUCCCAGGGCACAUUUGAUGUGGUCACUGGAGUCUUAAAUGUUUAUGGCUGUUUGCAAACACGCUUCUGCCCCCACACUCGGGAGGGAACGGCUAAGUGGAAGCUGAGCACGUGUCCCCCAGCUUCGUGUGACACAGACUCCACACAGGCGGGAAGGUCAUCCUCUGCUGUGGUCAGAAGGUCUGCCACUCAGGGUCUCAGGACCAAACGCCCCCGGGCUGGAGACACUCCCGAGGCACAGCCUCUGUGCGGUCAGCGUGUUAGCCAGGACAGCCACGGCUCCACACGGUCCGUGCCCCGGCUGCUGGGACAGCACUUCAGCCGCCCCCAUGGCACCCCCGCCCCCAUCUCUCCUCGAGUCACGUGGUCUGGGCAGAGCUGACCAGCUCCCAGAACUGCCACGUGAUCCAGCCCAUCAGAGCAACUGUCGCCUGGUCUCGGGGACUGGUCCAGGGGGCAGUGGCCCAAGUCAGGCCCCUGAGAUGAGGUUCUGGGACACGGCUGGGAGCUCUGGAGAAAGGAGCUCGUGCCACACAGGGGUGUGACCAGACCCUUCCAGAUGCCACCCUGCUGUCAUGAGGGCCGGCCCUCCUGAGAAGGAAGCAGAGCCUCGAGCCGGACACAUGCCCUCGGGGCUCAGGCAGGAGUGCAGCUGCCUGCCCCUCUCGUGGAUUCCUGGGAGGGUCAGAGGUCAUGGACACGGAAGCACUUCCCAACGGCAGGUCCAGGCUAGGCCAGGGACCACGGAAACCCCUUCCAGCUAGCAGGGAGCCAGCAAAUAAAGACCAAGAAAAAAAAAGAGAGACGCCCAGAAAAGUGGGAAGGUUUGGGCCUGAUGUAUCCAGAUCAGCUACACACGUGCAUUCGGACCCACCCACCAAUCCGAAGCCCAAAGCCCCACGUACGAGCACCCAUCUCGCAGCACAAAGGAUCAAGAUGAGGAAACAAGACAGAAAAGUCGAGGCAGGACAGGUAGGAAUCGGAGGUAGGAAUGGCGCAUGAGCCUCUCAGAAGUUCCCUGGAAUCUGCUUCCCUCCUGGUUGGUUAGUAUUUCUGCGGCUUUGUCUGCAGUGACGACCUGUACAGGGAGCAACUCCCCGCCCGCCCCCAGGAUCCAGCCCAGUGCCCCGCAUACAGCAGGAGCACAAUAAAUCCGAGCUGAGCAUCCCCAGUGCUUCCCAGAGAGGAGUCCCAGGCCUGUGCAGGCAUACGCGUCCACGUGGCCCAACAUCCCUCCCCAAGUCAAUUCCUCCUCGACCUCACGAGACCUCCGUACCCCACCUACUGCUUGGGCACGGCGUCCAAGCGUUACCACGUUCAUCCUUCUGGUGCUCUUUUGAGACGUGCACUCAGACGUUUUUGCUGUCAGAGGUGACGGGGCAGGUAUACAGCUUAGAAGGUACAAUUGAAGGCGUGCCCUCCCCCUGAUCUUAUCCACGUUUGCUGAACCUCCAGAAACUUAAAAAAAGUGCU